UGGGAUAUAGUGUAAUUGGUUAACACCUGAGAUUUUGAUUCUCAUAUUCCAGGUUCGAGUCCUGGUAUCCUAGCCA
RNAcentral lists this transfer RNA (76 nucleotides) under Methylotenera sp. RNAcentral's name for it is "tRNA-Gln". It matches the Rfam family "tRNA". Rfam says of the family: Transfer RNA (tRNA) molecules are approximately 80 nucleotides in length. Their secondary structure includes four short double-helical elements and three loops (D, anti-codon, and T loops). Further hydrogen bonds mediate the characteristic L-shaped molecular structure. tRNAs have two regions of fundamental functional importance: the anti-codon, which is responsible for specific mRNA codon recognition, and the 3' end, to which the tRNAs corresponding amino acid is attached (by aminoacyl-tRNA synthetases). tRNAs cope with the degeneracy of the genetic code in two manners: having more than one tRNA (with a specific anti-codon) for a particular amino acid; and 'wobble' base-pairing, i.e. permitting non-standard base-pairing at the 3rd anti-codon position. The record is from RNAcentral. Lineage: Bacteria; Pseudomonadati; Pseudomonadota; Betaproteobacteria; Nitrosomonadales; Methylophilaceae.